CACCUCAUCAGCCUGCCACACCUGCCAGUAGUCAACCUCAUACCUGCAUGUAUUUCAACCCCAGUUCUCCACACCAUUCUUGCUUGAUCGUCGUUGCUCCCAACCUGUUUCACUCACCCUCGUCCUCCGUCCAGUCGGCUGGGCUCUACCUGCGGUCCCCUCCUCCUCGGACUUCCCUCACGGCGUCCUCCCAGUCCUUCCUUGCCUCCCCGCUUCCUCGGCCUCAAUGCUCCCCAGCUCUGGUCCUAGUCUCCUCGGUUCCCUGUGCCUGCGUUUCCCCGGUAAUCUUUUCUCCCUCGGCUCCAGUCCCUAACCCCCCUUUUCUCAAUAAAACUUGCUUAAACCAAA
This is a long non-coding RNA of Micropterus salmoides (largemouth bass), 348 nucleotides long. RefSeq lists it as uncharacterized. The transcript is spliced from 2 exons. The record is from RefSeq and is a predicted model, not a curated record. Lineage: Eukaryota; Metazoa; Chordata; Actinopteri; Centrarchiformes; Centrarchidae.